Microcebus murinus (gray mouse lemur) is the source of this 1746-nucleotide non-coding RNA. The record is from RefSeq and is a predicted model, not a curated record. Lineage: Eukaryota; Metazoa; Chordata; Mammalia; Primates; Cheirogaleidae.
CUUAACAUUUGUACCCCCAUAAUAUGCUGAAAUAAAAAAAUAAAAAAAAUUCUUUCCUAAACAAUUGGCAAAAGAUAGGGUGAAUCUGAGCUGAUUGUGAUGACUUUCAGGUAGUAGUAGUUUCUUUGGACAGCAGUGCCUUGCCCUUCCCCCAGUGCAAUUCGUUAAAUUGGGUAAAUUGGGCGUUAGUGUUGUGGGAGUGGCUUGGAAAUGAGGGGUGGUCCCAGAACAGCAUGGCAGAACCCGUGGCACUUGCUGCUGCCACUUUGUUAAAGGCAUGGUUUGCUGUUUCCCACUGUCCCCUGUGCUGUGCUUGGGUGUGGCAGCCAAAUGCAAGAACAUUUCCUAGCUCUGGUAAUGACUGCUGCAAUCAGUUGGGAAAAUGCAUGUAGUUCUCAGAUUUGAAUAACGGUAGAGUGUACGUGUUAAAGCCUGGCUCGGUUGUGAGGCUGAGGAGGGUCUGUUGGGAAUAACCAGCCCAAAUGCCAAGGGAGAUGCCAUGCACUCCUCUCUGUCAGCUUCACCCAGGAAGCUGACUCGGGGCUGCUGUGCGGGGAGUUCCUAGCCUGGGCUGGGAACGGCAACCUGGGAAGCACUGCUUGGAAGGGCCAGCUGUGCAGUGAGGUCUCGGUGAGGUCCCCAGCUGCGUCAGCUGCCCGCUCUUCCUGCAGACAGCAAAUUCAGGGAUUCGGAACUCGGGGACUCCCAGGAGUGAGUGCAGUAGCAUCAAAACUGGCUGGAUUGCAUCCCAGUUCUACCCUGUACUAGCGAUGGGACCACAGGGCCACUUCUCUUUCCAGUAAGACACGUGCGUGGCACGUGAAGGAGAGCGAGUGUUUCGGCUUCGUUAUUAAUGAUAGCUUCUCUCCAGCUCACGGAGCCAGAUGUGGCCCAUCGAGCAUGGAGAAAUGGAGCAGCUGGAAGGUUCGCCAGCAGACAGCCGAGCUUUCUACACAGAAGCCGAGGCCGCGAGAGUCCUGAGACCCGCGAUUCUGUUCCUGGUGUGGAGGAGGGGAGCUCUGUGCUCUCUCCAUAUGGAUGACGUGAAAACAAGCUACGCGGCACAAUCACCUGUUGCUUAGUCGUGACGGGUACUUUGAAUUCAAGGAUGAAUUCGCCACCUAUCGAUGUAGCCUAGAAGCAUCGACUAUAAUAAUAGCUUAUGUCCACGGGAGGUGUCUGUGGUCAAUUGCUUUGCUUCAUUUACUCCUUGAAGCAACGCUAAGACUCAUCUCCUUCUCAGCCAGCCGUGAGGACUCUGAGACCUGGAGCACUUUGCUAACUUGCCCGGGACACUCUCCCCCCUGGAGGGAGCAUCUAGAACUGGGGCGUUUGUUGGUCUGGCCCGAAACAUCAUGUUCCUAAUCACCUUGCUGUAUUCCCUCCUCCUUUGUAAGGAGGAAGUAUUUAAACCAAGAACACUUGGAUUUUCCUAGAGGCAGCAGAAGAAUUCACCAUAAUGAACUUCUUUGUGUGUUUAGAGCACCAUGGGGACUGAAUUGAGGAGAGCUUUGAUAUCAGUGCACUUUUUUGUUGUUGUUAGCUUGUAAAAUCUUGUAAAAACCAAGCAUGAGCUUGGUGAGCUCACUGAGACGUGAACCAAGGCCUACGUGUGUGUGUCUGAACGGUGGCGGCUCCUGCUGUGUUUCUGGUAGGAGCCGCCUCUGGGCUCUCUGGAAGGAGGGUCCCCUCACAGAUCCCCACUCCUGGUGGCAUUCCCAGAGCCUGCCACUUGUUCUUAUACUU